RNAcentral lists this small nuclear RNA (23 nucleotides) under Arabidopsis thaliana (thale cress). RNAcentral describes it as "snRNA_14848". The record is from RNAcentral. Lineage: Eukaryota; Viridiplantae; Streptophyta; Magnoliopsida; Brassicales; Brassicaceae.
GAGUUAGGAUUGCUCGCUCUAUA